Molecule: ribosomal RNA, 253 nt
Filed under: uncultured bacterium
Lineage: Bacteria
Description: partial 16S ribosomal RNA
Rfam family: Bacterial small subunit ribosomal RNA
Source: RNAcentral
UACGAAGGGGGCUAGCGUUGUCCGGAAUUAUUGGGCGUAAAGGGCUCGUAGGCGGUUUGUCGCGUCGGGAGUGAAAACCCAGGGCUUAACCCUGGGCUGGCUUCCGAUACGGGCAGACUAGAGGUAUGCAGGGGAGAACGGAAUUCCUGGUGUAGCGGUGAAAUGCGCAGAUAUCAGGAGGAACACCGGUGGCGAAGGCGGUUCUCUGGGCAUUACCUGACGCUGAGGAGCGAAAGUGUGGGGAGCGAACAGG